GAUGAACGCUGGCGGCGUGCCUAAUACAUGCAAGUCGAGCGAACAGACGAGGAGCUUGCUCCUCUGACGUUAGCGGCGGACGGGAGAGUAACACGUGGAUAACCUACCUAUAAGACUGGGAUAACUUCGGCAAACCGGAGCUAAUACCGGAUAAUAUAUUGAACCUCAUGGUUCAAUAGUGAAAGACGGUUUUGCUGUCACUUAUAGAUGGAUCCGCGCCGAAUGAGCUAGUUGGUAAGGUAACGGCUUAGCAAGGCGGUGAUGCGUAACCGACCCGAGCGGGAGAUCGCCCAGAUGGGAACUGAGAAACGUUCCAGACACUUACGGGAGGAAGCAGUCGAGAAUCUUACGCGAGGGGGGAAUGCCGGACGGUGCAACGCGGCGGAAGUGAUGAAGGUCUACGGAUGGGAAAACUCUGUAAGUAGGGAGGAAGUAAAGUGUAAGUAACUAUGCAGGUCUUGACGGUACCUAGAGAGAAAGCCCCGGCUAACUCCGUG
Molecule: ribosomal RNA, 497 nt
Filed under: uncultured bacterium
Lineage: Bacteria
Description: partial 16S ribosomal RNA
Rfam family: Bacterial small subunit ribosomal RNA
Source: RNAcentral